AAUUGCUCGAAACAAGCGAGAACCUACAUGAAUGCUACGGAAAUAUCGCUCCAAGCCUCAGCUUUCUCAGUGUCCGCUUACAUCAUCGAGCUAAAUUCAUUUCCAAUUUCAAAUGCACAUUUAUAUUUUUAAAUUAUAUUUCACAGUUAUGGCCUUACAUUCUCAUGGAAUUCAAUUUACUAAGUUUUAAUCAUGAGGAUUUUUAGCUCAAGGGAAAAUAAAGAAUAGUGAUCUCACGGGAGAAAAUGCUGUAGUUAGGAUUCUGGAAUCUAUUCCUAUUUUAUACUUAAAACCCUAAAUCUUAUUCAUCCAUCAUCAAGUCAAAUGCAAGAUCUAUGUGAGACUUAUUUUAAAUGUUGAACAGAUUGGUAUUUAGAAUCAUUGAAUUGUUUGAGGAAUUUGUAAUUGCUCGUUUCCAUCAGUUUUAACUGGAACCACAUCAUUAUUUUUUCCUCUGCUAAACAUAUUAUGUGAAUAUUAGUGGUAAUGAUAGCAUCUCCAGAAAGUUGAAACUUUAACAGACUUCUUAAGACAAGUUCAGACAUUAUUUAAAUAUUCAAUUUGCUUAGUGACGGUGUUCCACUUUUACUUGAACUCAUCUCUAAAAAUUUGAUCAAAUUAAAACUAGGUACAUUUUGAUCAACUAGAGCCUGUAUUUACCAUGAAAUUUCAAGUGGGCUUAGUUCCUUAUUUAAUGAUUUUUAUCCUUUCAUAUCGCAUUUAUUUUACAGUUAGUUUUUACUCAAGUUGUGAAAUGGGUUGUCAUGCCAGUGAUAUUAUCUAUUUUAAUCAUUGCAGUAUUUUUAUUCUUCUACCUACCUUCUAUGAAUAAUUCAAGGUCACUGCCAGUGCUUUUAUAUUUUAUGCUCCAAAAUUUCUGUGCCACUGCUCGCUCAAAAAAUGUUUUUAGCUUUCUCAGGUGUCAGAACAUUCCAAAAAAUCAUUGGGGAUCAGUAAUAAACAUGAAGUGUCUGAUAUUAUUUUUCCCGUCCUGGAAAAUGAUUUUGGCCUUUUCCUGUUCCGUUCUUGUUACCCUUGAGCAGACCUUUUCACCUAUCAGUCCUUUUGGACACUCAAGUUUUAAUUAAGUAAGGGAAUAAUUAAGGAGAUAUAAUUUAAGCUGAUGAAAUUCAUGUGUCUUAUUAAGCCCAGACUAUUUGAACAAGCUUGAUAUAAGAUCUAAUUUUAGAAAUUAGGUGCUCUCUUGAAAGCUGCUAUUAUUUUUUUGUUUUUUUCAAUUUUUCUCUCUUUUCCGAGUAUUUCAAGAUAUCAUCCAUCUCAAAACUGGUCGAAUCUCUGUCUAUUAUCCUCUGGUCAAAUUGACAAGAGCAAAAUACUCAGCAUCUACUUUAAGAUAGUGCUUAGUAUUUAAAUAUGUAAAAUUAUUUCAAUUGACUACAAGUCUUUUUCUAUUAUGUGCUCUGUUAAAAACAAUUAUUUUGUUCUAUCAUUGUUAGAUGUUCUUCUCCUAUCUUUUUUCAUUUAUUUUAUAUUCAGCUUUUUAUUUCUUGUUAUCUGUGCUUAAAAACAUCACAGGGAAAUUUUCGUUAAAGCUUGUCAAAAAGUAUUCUAUUCCGUUAGUCAUAGUUGUAUCAAAAAAUAAAUCAGCUUGUCUCAAAGACCCAAUGAUUUGUUUUACCUUUACUUUGAUAUUUACCUAAUCCUUUGAAUAUGACACCAAAUUUUGAUUGAAAGCACUCAUUUAGAGGUUCUAGGUGAGCGGUAUGUGUACUUAUGUACUUUUAACUAGCUUUUGAGUUGAGUGAAUUGCAGAAUGCCAAAUGAGAAUUGAAAAAUGCCAUUAUAGUUCACAACAGAUCUCAUUUACAACAUCUUCAUCAUUAUCUAACCAAGAAAACCCGUUUAUUUUCUCUGAAUGCCGUCUGUUUAGAACUGGAGGUUGUAAUUUUUAAGUAGCGAGGAGUUCUGUUGGAAAUUGACAUUAGUUUGCAAAAUGAUGAUUAGAGAAAAGAGGCAUUAAAUACCUAUAUUUGGAUAAUUUUUAAUAAUGCAAAGUAAACAAGAGAGUUAUGGAUUUUUUUUUUCUUUUCUUUUUUUCUCUUUUUUUUACCAAUUUUAGUGAAUAUCUUCUCUCAGAUAUUAGACAAUUCACAGUGAUGGGAAAUGAAUAUUAUUAAAUCAAACAGUCCUGAAUGGACAACUGAAGUAUUGUCACAAUAGUCGUUGUUGCAUAAAACUUUAGGUAUUAGAGGUGUAAUUGAAGGGAAUAAAGGAAAGUAGUCACAUUUAAUGUGCAGUGUUGCAAAAUCUCAUCUUUUAUUAUAAUGUUUUGGACCAAACCAUCAAAUUUGAUUAAACCAACCAUCAUUUUUGUUAAAAUUUUGUAAAAUAACCCUCAUAAGUAUGGGUAAGAAAAAGUGUAACCAUUUUUGAGUGGGGUUGUUGACUCGUUUCCUUCCAAAAAAUUAAAAUAGGAGGUGAGAUUUUGAAAUACGUAAAUGCUGAUGUGACUGUUUAGCUCAUAUUUAUUCAAUUUUGUCAAACAAUUCAUAUCAGUAUUUCCAACAUAUCUCUUGGAGCAGGAAUUUUUAUUUUUCGUGUCUUUGUUGAAAGGAUCAUCCUUUUUAAGAUCCUCCUUUGCCAGUCAAUCAGCCGAAGUUUAUAUCAACAUGCCGUAGAUCCUCUCACAGGAAAUACACCCUAGCUUGUCCGAAUUUGACACUAUCUUACAAUAAUGACGAAUGAUACUUAUUAAUGGAACACAAUAAUGUAUUUCCCUUGGAGAAUACAUUCAAAUGCUAGAUUCAUGAAAUACUUCAGUCCGUGGAAAAAUGAUAUCAGAUUGUUAGAAUGAUGCUGUUUUUCCCCUAUCUGAGCUCAUCAGGUACCCAAGUAGCACUGAUUGCAAUAAAUAGCAAUCACCUAGUAAAAAUAUUGCAAUUCAACUGUGAGUGUAGUGGAUGUUGCCUAGCUCCUAUUUGAAGGGGCCCCAUUUAUUGAAACUUAUUGCAAUAAAAUUGAAAUAAGUUGUCAUUUUCAUUGCAUUGCAUAUUGCCGACCUUUCUGACAUUUUGAUGAUUGUUUAAAAUCGACAUAAAUCGACUAAAUCAUAUAAAAUAUUGCAAUUUGAUGGUAAAAAAAUUACAAUGGUAUUGAAAUCAAAUUGCAAAAAUUUAAUUUCAAUAUUUUCGUUGCACUGUGCUACUUGGGUAGGUAUAUUUUUGUCACAAGAAUAUGUAGCAUAUAAACAGGCUAAACGUUCGUAAUAUUCCACCUGCCGUUAAAUGGUGAGGGAGGGGGGGGGGAUGCACUCCAAGUGCGCUAUCAAUUAUUAUGAUAAAAGCUCGAGCAUUCCUCCCGCAUGCACCUGGCCAUGGUGAAAGUGGUCGGUGGAUUUCUCAUCACUCAAUACUGCUCAUUCGAAGCUUUGUUUGUGAUUUAUGAACACUCCCAUCGUCAUUAUCAUCAUCAUUAAUAUUAACUUCGAAGGAUUUCUUUUUUUCAUUCAUUCCACCUUUUAUUCCACUCCGGCGUUGCCAGAUUGUGCGAUAAAUGUGAAUAUUCUACAUGGGUUUGAAAUCGUCAUCAUCAUUCAUAUAGACUUCGAAGGUUUUCACUUUUUCAUCU
Molecule: long non-coding RNA, 3588 nt
Filed under: Bemisia tabaci
Lineage: Eukaryota; Metazoa; Arthropoda; Insecta; Hemiptera; Aleyrodidae
Description: lncRNA ENSSSA1NGG009917
Source: RNAcentral